Molecule: ribosomal RNA, 347 nt
Filed under: Enterobacter hormaechei subsp. xiangfangensis
Lineage: Bacteria; Pseudomonadati; Pseudomonadota; Gammaproteobacteria; Enterobacterales; Enterobacteriaceae
Description: partial 16S ribosomal RNA
Rfam family: Bacterial small subunit ribosomal RNA
Source: RNAcentral
CUUUAAAAAUCUGGAUCAAGCUGAAAAUUGAAACGACACACAGCUCAUGUGUGUUCGAGUCUCUCAAAUUUUCGCAAGUCGAUGAUGAAUCGAAAGAAACAUCUUCGGGUUGUGAGGUUAAGCGACUAAGCGUACACGGUGGAUGCCCUGGCAGUCAGAGGCGAUGAAGGACGCGCAAGCCUGAUGCAGCCAUGCCGCGUGUAUGAAGAAGGCCUUCGGGUUGUAAAGUACUUUCAGCGGGGAGGAAGGCGAUAAGGUUAAUAACCUUGUCGAUUGACGUUACCCGCAGAAGAAGCACCGGCUAACUCCGUGCCAGCAGCCGCGGUAAUACGGAGGGUGCAAGCGUU